UGACCAGGCACCCCUAAAAAAUAAUUUGUUUUUGACCACAACAAAGACAUUGGUAAUAAUUAAGGCAAGAAACUAAUGUGAGUAAUGUGUUCGUAGGGUCACAUACACUAAUAGGGAUGAUAAACACAAAAACAGAAGUAAAUCAUUUAUAUAAUUUUGCAAGGUGAUAAAUAUUAUGGGGGGGGGAAAAACAGGUAAGUGAGACCAGAAGUAUCGUGGGAGUAGGACAGAUUGCAGAUAAGAUAGAGUGACUAGGAUAUGCCUUAUUGGCAAAAUGAAAUUUGAGCAGAACUGAAGGAAUUAGCCAUGGAGAAAUCUGGAAGUGUGUUCUGGGCAGAGAAAACAGAACAAAGCCUCUAAUAGAUAUAAGUAGCUUUAGUAGGAAGUCAGUGCAACUGGUUCAGUGUAAGAAGGAAGGGUAGAAGCAGGUAAGGUCAAAGAGUUAAAGGGAGUGGCCAGGUCAGGUAGGGCCAUAUGAGCUAUUAAAUACAUGGACUUCAGUAUUUACUCUCAGUGAAAGGGAAAACAAUCACAAAGUUUUGGGCAGAAGGGUGAUAUAAGCCACUGGUGCCCAGCCAGAGGUGAUUUUGUCCCCCUAAAGGGCAUUUGGCAGUAUCUGGAGACAUUUUUGGCUGUCACAACUGGGGGCAGAUACUACCAGAAUCUAGUAGGUAGAACGGUCAGAGAUGCUGCUCAAUACCCUACAACACAGCAGACAAUUCCCUAUAACAAAAAUUAUUGGGCUUAAUAAAAUGUCUGUAGUGUCAAAGUUGAGAAAUCUUGAUAUAACCUUACAAUUAAUAGGAUUACUCUCUGGCUACUGAGUUGAGAAAAGAUUGUAGGGCAAGGGAAAAAAACAGGGAAACCAAGGAAAACAGGAAGCUAUUGCAGUAUCUAGGCAAGAAAUGGUGGUGGCUUGGAGCAGGUGGUAAAAAGACAUCCGCAUUCUGCAUAUAUUUGAAGGCAGAACAACAAGAUUAGCUGAUGACACCACUGGAGAAGUGAGAACAAGAAGUUAUGGAAGGGUGGUGUUCCAUCAACUGUGAAGGGGAAGGCUGUAGGGUAGAAUAAAUUAUUUUGGGGGGUAAGAUUUGGAGUUUUAGGUUUUGGACACAUGAAUUUGCUUACGUCUAUGAGACAUCUAAGUGGAAAUGUUGAGUAUGUAGUUAGAUAUACUAGUCUGUAGUUCGGAAAAGACUGCAAAAGGACAACCAAGCAAGGUAGGAAGAGGACUGUGGAGUCUGGAAGUUUGGUGAAGUGUAUCAAGGAGGAAAGAUCAACUGCUGAAAGGUCAAGUAAAAUGAAGACUAAAAGCUGACCACUGGAUUUGGCAAUGUGAAAGUCACUGUGACUUGGAUGAGGACAGUUUUGGUCCUCAUCCCCUAAUCACAGGGGCAGACCCUGACUGGAGUGGGUAAGAGACAAAGUGGGGAGCAGAAUUAGAGAGAUAAAAGCCCAAUUUUGGGAACUAUUCCUGCAAAGGGGAACACAGAAAUAGAGUGGUGGCUAGUAGUAGUAGAAUCAAAUAUCUUAAAAUUUGUUUUUAGGGAGAGCAAUUACAACAUGCCAAUAUACUAAUCAGAAUGACCCAUCAGAGAAUAAGAAAUUGAUGAUGUGGAAGAGAGAGAAGAAAAUGCAGGCAAAAGGGAAUGGGAUCCAAAACUCCAAUGGGGGCACUGGGUCUAGACAGGAGCAGGAAAGUCUGUCUCUGUUCUAGGUGAAAAGGAAGAGUGUUAGUUGAGAUGAGAGGAAAGAACACGUAACCCCAAAUGUUGGUAGACAUGCGGGGCUAGGGGUCUGCAGAAGGUUUAUUUUGAUUGAUUUCCAUGAACCCUAUCCCGACACCACAAUCUGAAUGACCUCUCCCUCUUAUCAUUUCUAUUACAUUUAUUCUGUAUCACUUGGUAGGUAUUUAUAACAGUGUAGUGUUUGUAACUUUCCAAAUGCAUGUGUUUUAUAACUUAACUGUAAGUUCCUCAAGGGACAUCUAUUAACUAUUUAAUGCUUGUAACAAUAUUACAAAUAGGUACUAUUAUCUCCAUUUUUCAGAUGGGGAAACUGAGGCAUACAGAUGCUAAGUAACUCACUAAGAUCACACAGGCAGUAAGUGGAGGAGCCAGUAUUUGAACUCUUGCAAUUUUGGCUUUAAUUCCAUGUCAUAUCCAUUUUGUAGACACAGAAUCCACAGGUACCUGUCCUCCAGGGUCUUUUUAAAUUUCACAACACAAGUGAGAUAUCUCACUGGUUAAAUAGAAAUGGCUAAAUUACUUAUGAAAUUAAAAACCACUUUUCUUCUGAAUACGAACAUUUAAAAUACAAAGAUAAGCUGUGGGAAAGAAGAAUGGGAAGCUAUUGUUUAUUUGGUACAGUUUCAGUUCUGCAACUGAAGAGUUCAGAAACAGAUGGUAGUGAAGGGAGUACAACACAGAAUAUACUUAGUACCACUGAACUGUACAUUUAAAGUUAUAAUGGUAAAUUUUGUUAUGUAUAUUUUAACACAAUUUUAAAAAAGAAAGCUAAGAAACAGAAAAAAAAAAAAAACAACCCAAAAAAUAAACACAACCAGGCAGACUAGGACCAAGAAAGUGUAGAGAACUGUUCCACUUCAAGUAACCAUCUGAACAGCCAGUAGCUUUAGGGUGAGGCUGGGGGCACAAAACUAUCCGCUAAGUCCAGCUGCUGACAAAUAACCAACCAUGUAGACACUGAAUUUUAUAUUAACAGGGUACACCAAUGGUGAUGAUUAAAAUAAAAUCAACAAAUUGUGGGAAAAAAAAGAUAAAAUACAAUACAAAUUAGUCUUUGUUAAAAAAAAUUAAAACAAAGAUAAGACAAUGAAAUAGAAUUAAAUAGGGCUAUCAGCAUAGAUCUGACCAUCUAACCACAUAUGCCACACAAUUUCUAGUGAGACAAAGCUCUGUUUUCCCCCCUUUAUUGAACACAAACAUAAUUAAAAGGGGCUGCAGAAAAAGGAGGUUGUAUUUACUAUCUGUGUUCUCCACCAGAAUAUAUGAUAAAUGACAAAUCUGUUCUGCUUACCAUCUUCUUCCUAACACCUGGAACAAGUCCUAGAUAUGGCAGAUGCUCAAAGAAAUUUGCUGAAUCAAUGAUAUGAUCAGAAAUAAUGUAUUCCAUUAGUUCUACUAGAAUGCCACAUUACCUUCUCCCCCCCUCUUAACACCACCAUGCUAUUAGAAUUCUGUAACUUCCUCAACUCUUACAACCUUUGCUUAUGCUUAAUUUUUAGCAACCUACUUCUAUGGCUUCACCCUGAACCUAAAACUAUUCCCACUUUAAGUUAUUAAAUAAUAAUAUAGGUAUUUCUGGCCACUCAUUCAACAGAUUAUUUAUUUAUAUACCUAACUAUACAUACAUACACAAUAAUGUCAGUAAGUAACCAUAACCUUUCUCUCCAACUCCUAUUAUAACUCUUUAUCCUCACCUAAACAUCUAAGCCCCACUACCUUGCAGUCCCUUACACUGCUGCUCAUGGCUUUCAGCUGUUCUCCCAAGGAGAGACAGAAAGGACAGAGAUCAGACAGGUAUGUAAAAUCUUUGAAAAAAGUAGGCCUCACUGCUGUGUGCUGACAUAAAAGCAAAGUGAAACCCCAAGUCCAGCUCAAAGGAGUAAUCUGAAAUUUUCCUGAAGUUGACACAGCCCCUUUCCCCACAUUAUGAGAUCUACAAUCCCCUUCCUGUUAGGUACUCUCUCAUCACCAUAACAACACACAUUCCAUAAAAAAACAGGGGGGUCAUUAAAGAAAGGCAGGAGAGAACUUUUGAUGCUGCUUUUCAGGCAUCCCAUUCAGACUUAACCUGGACAUUAAUACAGAUGCCUGGUGGAUGGCAUUGUCACUCAUGUUGAUGAAAUCUUCAAAGACAGGCCAUGAUUCAGGCUCAGAACACCCUACCCAAGCUCCCAUAGAGACCAAAGAUGUUGUUACAAGACAGGAGAAGACUAUUGAACUGUGUUUCCUAAAAAUGAUAUGCUUCUGUACCAGCACCUCAGAAUGCAGUUUUAUUUGGGAAUGAGGUCAUUGCAAAUAAAAUUGGUUAAGAUGAGGUCAUGUUGGAGUAGAAUGGAACCCCAAUCCAAUAUGGUAUCCUUAUAAGAAGACAGCCAUGUGAAGACACAGAGACACAGGGAGAAUGCCAUGUGAAGAUGGAAACAGAUUAAAAUGAUGCCUUUAAAGCCAAGAAACCC
This is a long non-coding RNA of Leopardus geoffroyi (Geoffroy's cat), 4204 nucleotides long. RefSeq lists it as uncharacterized. Lineage: Eukaryota; Metazoa; Chordata; Mammalia; Carnivora; Felidae. The record is from RefSeq and is a predicted model, not a curated record. The transcript has 3 exons.